RNAcentral lists this ribosomal RNA (342 nucleotides) under Triticum aestivum (bread wheat). Its description in RNAcentral is "partial small subunit ribosomal RNA". Lineage: Eukaryota; Viridiplantae; Streptophyta; Magnoliopsida; Poales; Poaceae. The record is from RNAcentral.
CUCGGCCUGGUCGCGGCCUCUCUGUCCGUCGCAGGUGGCCUUGGGAGGCCGCUCGGCCUCGGCCUCGGCGCUUCGCUGCGACCCUGCUCGCCGCGGGCGAGGACGUGCGUCGUCCAUCCGUCGGGGCAGCAGUCGGUGAAAGAGAAGGCCGCGGCCGGGCUGACCGCCGCGGCCAUGGCGGCCGCUCUUGUGCUGCCGGAGGUCGCGGAGGCCGCUGGCCCCGGGCUUUCGCCGUCGCUCAAGAACUUCCAGCUCAGUAUCGGCUCCGGCGGGGUCGUGCUCCUCGGCAUCAUCGGCGCCGUCGUCGCCGUCUCCAACUUCGACCCCGUCAAGCGAGGCUGA